Molecule: ribosomal RNA, 1616 nt
Filed under: Parascaris equorum
Lineage: Eukaryota; Metazoa; Nematoda; Chromadorea; Rhabditida; Ascarididae
Description: eukaryotic LSU rRNA
Rfam family: Eukaryotic large subunit ribosomal RNA
Source: RNAcentral
AUGGAUGGCGCUUGAGCGGGAGACUUAUACCCGACCGUUGCAUGGCUUGUGUGUUUCUUCAUGUCUAAGAGAUUCGCCUCGCCGCAACGAGUAAGAGGGUCACAGUGGUUUGCGUUGAAGGCUUUGGGCGUAGGCCCGGCUGGAGCUUCCACUGGUGCAGAUCUUGGUGGUAGUAGCAAAUAUUCAAGUGAGAUCCUUGAAGACUGAAGUGGAGAAGGGUUCCACGUGAACAGCAGUUGAAUGUGGGUCAGUCGGCCCUAAGAUACUGGCUAAUGCCAUGUGUUAUCGAGAGAUGGAGUUCAAAUCCGUCUCGUUUAUCGAAAGGGAAACGGGUUAAUAUUCCCGUACCUGGACACGGAGAUAAGCGCUCAUUGCGAGUGUUUAGCGCGGUAACGCAAACGAACUCGGUAACGUUGAAUAGAGCCCGAGCUAGAGUUCUCUUUUCUAGUUAAGGAACGAAUUCCCUGGAAUCGGUUCAGCCGGAGAUAGGGAUGUUGUUUCCGUAAAGCGCCACGGUUCCUGUGGUGUCUCGUGCGCUCUAUUCGGCCCUUGAAAAACCGAGGGAGGCUAUUUGAAUUUCGUGCCAGGCCGUACCGAUAUCCGCAGCAGGUCUCCAAGGUGAACAGCCUCUAGUCGAUAGAAUAAUGUAGGUAAGGGAAGUCGGCAAAUUAGAUCCGUAACUUCGGGAAAAGGAUUGGCUCUAAGGACUGGGCCGGUCGGGCUGCAGUGUGAAGUGAGCUCGGUUUGAUCCAUGCAGUGCAACGCUCGGAAACGGGUGGCGCUCGGCUAGCGUUCGAACUGUCUUAUGGACCGCUGCAGCUGUGUACCGCGUCAAUAAUGGCGUUGGUGCUUCGGCGGGCGCUAAACAGUCGACUUAGAACUGGCACGGACUCGGGGAAUCCGACUGUCUAAUUAAAACAGAGGAGACAGAUGGCCCUUGCGAGCGUUGACUGUCUCUGAUUUCUGCCCAGUGCUCUGAAUGUAAAAGUGAAGAAAUUCAACCAAGCGCGGGUAAACGGCGGGAGUAACUAUGACUCUCUUAAGGUAGCCAAAUGCCUCGUCAUCUAAUUAAUGACGCGCAUGAAUGGAUUAACGAGAUUCCCACUGUCCCUAUCUACUAUCUAGCGAAACCACAGCCAAGGGAACGGGCUUGGCGAACACAGCGGGGAAAGAAGACCCUGUUGAGCUUGACUCUAGUCCGACUCUGUGAAGAGUCAUGAGAGGUGUAGCAUAAGUGGGAGGCUUUCGCCAACAGUGAAAUACCACUACUUUCAUCGAUUCUUUACUUAUUCGGUAAGACGAGAAUUGAGCCUAUCCGGCUCUUGAUUCUGGUGUUAAGUGCAGCCACUCGGUGGCCGUUCGACUCGCGCCGAAGACAGUGUCAGGCGGGGAGUUUGACUGGGGCGGUACAUCUGUCAAAUCGUAACGCAGGUGUCCUAAGGCUAGCUCAGAGAGGACGGAAACCUCUCGUAGAGCAAAAGGGCAAAAGCUCGCUUGAUCUUGAUUUUCAGUACGAAUACAGACCGCGAAAGCGUGGCCUAUCGAUCCUUUUGAAUUAGAAGGUCUCUAGCAAGAGGUGUCAGAAAAGUUACCACAGGGAUAACUGGCUUGUGGCA